RNAcentral lists this ribosomal RNA (403 nucleotides) under uncultured prokaryote. RNAcentral's name for it is "bacterial SSU rRNA". It matches the Rfam family "Bacterial small subunit ribosomal RNA", at positions 355 to 774 of the family's 1533-position model. The record is from RNAcentral.
UGGGGGAUAUUGCACAAUGGGGGAAACCUUGAUGCAGCAACGCCGCGUGAAGGAAGACGGUCUUCGGAUUGUAAACUUUUGUCUUGCGGGACGAAUAAUAACGGUACCGCAGGAGGAAGCCACGGCUAACUUCGUGCCAGCCGCCGCGGUAAUACGUAGGUGGCGAGCGUUGUCCGGAAUUACUGGGUGUAAAGGGUGCGUAGGCGGAUUUGCAAGUCAGGUGUGAAAUCUGUCGGCUUAGCCGGUAGCCUGCACUUGAAACUGUGAGUCUUGAGUGGUGAAGAGGUAAGCGGAAUUCCUAGUGUAGCGGUGAAAUGCGUAGAUAUUAGGAGGAACACCUGUGGCGAAGGCGGCUUACUGGGCACGAACUGUCGCUGAGGCACGAAAGCAUGGGGAGCAAACA